Molecule: transfer RNA, 77 nt
Filed under: Leptolyngbya sp. FACHB-541
Lineage: Bacteria; Bacillati; Cyanobacteriota; Cyanophyceae; Leptolyngbyales; Leptolyngbyaceae
Description: tRNA-OTHER
Rfam family: tRNA
About the family: Transfer RNA (tRNA) molecules are approximately 80 nucleotides in length. Their secondary structure includes four short double-helical elements and three loops (D, anti-codon, and T loops). Further hydrogen bonds mediate the characteristic L-shaped molecular structure. tRNAs have two regions of fundamental functional importance: the anti-codon, which is responsible for specific mRNA codon recognition, and the 3' end, to which the tRNAs corresponding amino acid is attached (by aminoacyl-tRNA synthetases). tRNAs cope with the degeneracy of the genetic code in two manners: having more than one tRNA (with a specific anti-codon) for a particular amino acid; and 'wobble' base-pairing, i.e. permitting non-standard base-pairing at the 3rd anti-codon position.
Source: RNAcentral
GGGGGUGUAGCUUAGUCCGGCUCAAAGCAGUCGCGCGCCCGUGCGAAAGAUCGUGGGUUCAAAUCCCAUCUCCCCCG